RNAcentral lists this ribosomal RNA (354 nucleotides) under Chaetoceros sp. RCC4816. RNAcentral describes it as "eukaryotic LSU rRNA". The stretch from base 276 to 354 matches the Rfam family "Eukaryotic large subunit ribosomal RNA", at positions 1 to 80 of the family's 3401-position model. The record is from RNAcentral. Lineage: Eukaryota; Bacillariophyta; Thalassiosirophyceae; Chaetocerotales; Chaetocerotaceae.
ACCCAACUAGACCUUCUCUUGUCUGAGGAGCGUCUGAGUAUGGUCGUGCAAGAUUGACUCCAGUCGAUCGUGCUCGACUCAAGUUAGCGGUCACUUUCUGAAGUGACACUUUUGCGUCUGGAUGGCAAACGUGUCUUGUGCUUUAGGAGGCCAAAAUAUCUGGUAGAUGCACCGCUUGUGUGUAUUCCAUCGGUAUGGAAGCUUCUGAGCAGGGUCGUGAAGCAAUUCUGGCGUGAAGGGCGGUGCGGAANCGCUGCGCUUUGUGUUCUACAAUCGAAUCUCAGCUUGGUAAGAUUACCCGCUGAAUUUAAGCAUAUAAUUAAGCGGAGGAAAAGAAAAUAACUAUGAUUCCCU